AUGAGCUACUUCCAAGCUACAACUUGCAAGCCUCAUACUGGGCUCAUUGUGGACAGACCCAUAACGGGUCUUGGGAAGACCUGCAGAUUACUACCUGUUCCCCAGUAUUCCCUACGGUCACGUCCUCUCGGAUUUCGCAAGCUUGAUAAGCAUAUCUACCCACGCCUUGUUCUUGUUGCUGCUAGCCAUCCUAGGCUUACUCCUGUAUGCGCCUCAAGUGGAAAAGGGAACCCUGAGAUUGACAAUGAUCCCUUUAUGGAUCAUUUGAAGAAGGCCAUGGCUGAUGCAAAAAAGCCACGACCCAUACAAGAUGCGCUGAAAGAGAAAUUCACCAAGCUGAGAGAACAAGCAUCUGGUGGAGGUGGAGGGAAUGGAAACAGGCGUGGAGGCAAUGGUGGUUCCGGUGGCCCAGAAGAUGAAUCAUUCAAGGAAUCAUUGGAUGAAGUAGUCCAAGUUAUCUUAGCAACUGUUGCUUUUAUACUUGUGUACAUCCAUAUUAUCAGAGGGGAGGAGCUGUACCGUCUUGCGAGGGACUACACUAGAUAUCUGGUUACUGGUAAGCGAACUGCCCGGCUGAAGCGCUCCAUGCAACAAUGGCGCAAUUUCUCGGAGAAAUUCAUGCAAAACGAGGGCUCUCAAGAAGAGCGGUACGAAAGGCCAGCUGCUACGGAACCCAUGUGGUGGCAGCAGCCUCAAAAGUUUGUUCAUCUUAUGGAGGAGCUUUGCAGAGGGAACUGGCGUCCACAUGCCCAGAAGUCUUAG
Molecule: ribosomal RNA, 762 nt
Filed under: Triticum aestivum (bread wheat)
Lineage: Eukaryota; Viridiplantae; Streptophyta; Magnoliopsida; Poales; Poaceae
Description: partial small subunit ribosomal RNA
Source: RNAcentral